RNAcentral lists this ribosomal RNA (976 nucleotides) under uncultured eukaryote. RNAcentral's name for it is "partial 18S small subunit ribosomal RNA". It matches the Rfam family "Eukaryotic small subunit ribosomal RNA", at positions 1 to 1003 of the family's 1831-position model. The record is from RNAcentral.
AACCUGGUUGAUCCUGCCAGUAGUCAUAUGCUCGCUUCGAGGAUUAAGCCACGCAAAUCUUAGUAUCGGAAAUUCCGCCUUCGGGUGUCUCUGUUUCCCGAUCUGUGGAGGGCUCAUUAUAAUGGUUGACAUUGCUCCGCUGUGUGGACAGCAGUUUCUGCCAAAUCGGAUACGAGAGGAUAGCGCUUGCUAGAACGCGGAUGUUUUUGAUGAAGUAUCAAACGCAUCGGGAAAGUCAUGGACUGAGGUACUUGGCAAUUCAAUUGUCAAAGAAGAAAAAGCGAAUCUCAGACUCAUACACACCCAAGUUCACUAAAACGGUUGUAUCGAAAGAUAUAGAGUCCUUUUCGGCUUGGGGUUUACAAACGCUCAAUUUUGGGCGGUGCGUGGAUUAUCUUCUCCCCCUUAACAUGUCGGUCACAUCGUUAGCCAGUGAAGCAAUUAUGGGUCACAGAGAAUUCGGGUUCUAUUCUGGAGAGAUAGCCUUAGAGAUAGCUGUCACAUCUAAGGACGGCAGCAGGCACGCAAAUUGCAUUCUGCGAACAACAAGAUAUCGUGACGCAGCGAAGAAGUUAAUCCCAAGUUACACUCAUCUAAUGUUUGUAUUGAUGGAAAUGUAGCGGAAGUCAAAAAGACCACUCAGUAUAUAUUGGAGAGCAAGUGCGCAGUCGCUGCAUUUCCCAGCUCCAAGAAGCGUACACUAUUUUUGCUGCGCUUAAAGCGCUCGUAGUCGAACUCUGAGUUAAGGCCUAGCGAUCAGACUAUGGUAUGAGGCUAGUAAUUGCAAGGCCUUGUGUCUCAAGUCUGGGAUACUGUCGGGAUAACCCUAUUCUCGUAAUCAGCCCUGAGAACCAACCUGCACGUGAAACCGUACACAGGCGUUUUUGCUGACAUCUCAGGCACGUCACUGUGAUCAAAGCGAAGUGAAUGGCUGGUGAGCUUUCGUUGAUCAAGAACGUGCGUGUCGGGAGCGAAG